CCCUUGAGGAGGGGACUGGAAACCUGAUUUCCACUUAGAAGUCCCAGACCUGAAGGACUAGAAGGUGUGGGCUGGGGAGGCAGAGUGCCGCCCACCGCCCUUGGAAGCCUUGAAUGCGGGAGGAGGAGUGGCGCCCCAGACACCCAGGGCCGGGGCCUUCCUCUGAGCCUCUCGGCAGCUGCUCCUCGGAAGGCCUGGCUGUGCGGCCCCCUCUCCAUGCUCCCAGCCCAGGCUGCUGUGAAGAGAGGCCCCAAAGGAAGCACCUCAGGAAACAGUGGCGGGGAGGGGUCUGGGCCUUGCCUGGGCCUCAUCCAGCUGGGCUCUGAGAAUGAAGGGGGCUCCCCGUGUGAGGGGAAAGAUCUGGAAGUGGGUGGGUUCCCAGGGAAGGCUCUCUCUGGGCUCUGAGCGAGCCCUGGCUGUGUCCCCACAGACAGCGGAGACCUGAGGUGACUCCCCAGGGUCCUGGGUGGCUGUGAUGCAGUGGGGACAACAGGAGUCAGAGGGCACAGGAAUGCCCACCUCCCCCCGCCAGUCUCUUUGUUCCCAAAUGCCUCCCUUUCUUUGCUCCAGAGCCUUGAAAAGGGUCAUGCCAGGGUCUCCCCCUCUUUGGCCCCACCAAGAGAAGGAAACAUUUGUGCUGAUGGUGACAUUUCCCAGGGCAGGCCAGAGGAAGGCAGGAACCAGGACUGGCCGGCAGCCAGAUCCCCUCUUCGACAGAGAUAUAAAUACUAAUAAUGACCUCUAGCCCAGGCAGCAAGCAAAGUGGCCAUUCAGGACGGCACUAACCCAGUAUGGCACAUAAACGCUACUGUGGUGGGCAGAGGAGAGUGGCACAUGUGCCAGCCAGAUUUCAGCUUCUCCCUGGUAUUUCCUGAAGCAGCGCGCUGAACUCGCUUUCCACCUGGAUGCCUGGGCUUGGGCGAAGGCAUGUAUCUGCCCACAUGUGGGUGUUGGUGCAGAGCUGGCCUACAGCAGCCCGUGGCUUCUUUGCUGGAGAGGCCCUGAGAAGACUCUUUGGAGUCCCCUGGACAGGACCUGGCUCUGAGCAGGCAGAAUUUUGGUGAUCUCUGUGAGAGACUCAGGGAUAUGAGGCUUUCAUGACCUUUCGCUGUGAGACUGGUUUGACGUGCUUGAGAACCUGAAAUGCAUUCUGGGGUUUGACCCACUGCCCUUAUGAAAGCCUGUGGUUCUUUUGAACCAAGCCUCCUUUGAAUGACCCGGAUUCCCCGGGUCUCUUGUGCUGGCGGCAGGGCAGUGGGGUAGGUCAUCUGACUUGGACCCCACCCAGGCCGGACUGGCGGCACCACUCCCGGGCAGAGGCCACAGUCUGAGCCCACUGGCCCCCUAAACUCCAUGCGGGAUGGACCUGGGGGUGGGAGAGUUCUGCUGGCCCAGUGGGUGGAGCUCUGAGAGGGUCUUCGCUCCUACCUCCACCUGAGUAGACUCUCAGGCUGAGAACACAGUCUGCUCAGACUCCCUCCCAGCCGGGUGCUGACACACUGGACCAAUUAGGAAAGAGACACCUGAAGGAGGAGCCCCCUGGUGCAUGUCCCACGGUGGACUGGUGCAAAAGCCUGUCUUCAAGUAGAUCUUGGCACCCCCACCCCCACCAUGUGCGAUUUUAAAGCCCAGUUUUGAGAACAUUCCCUUUUGAGAGCCAAGAAAUGGAGCAUCUCUGCCCAGAAGCCAAGAGAAAUUGCUUUCUUCUUCUAGUUUCCUGAUGCCCCACUGUGUUCUGUCAGGGGGAGGCUGGUUCUGGGGGCUGUGGGGAGGGCUGCCUCCGCCGCAUACGAGCCUUAGAGUUCCGGGCGGGCUGGGGUGGAGAGGGUGAAGAGGCCACUCAGAAGGAGGUGCCUACCCAAGUGCCGUGUGUGGAAGCUCAUGCCUGUGCUGACUCUGGGAAGGGUACGGAAGCCGUCUGGUUGCCUCAGAGUUGGAGAAGUCUGGGAAGGGGCUAAUUUAGUCUUCACUGCUCUGUCCCAGCUGGUGAAUAGACCCUGGGUGCCUUGCAGCCUCAGGAAUUUACUGCCCCCCAGAUGGCUUUGGCUCUAUUUGGAAAGGGUACCCUUGGAAAUGUUCCAGUGAUUUCCUAUUGCUGUGUCUCUGGACGUGUAGACAGGAUGCAACCUUGAGGUCACCUUCUCCCAGGUGUGGGCGUGAGACAGGGAAGCCUUUCAGUGGUACACCCCAUCAUUCCAAAGUGCUUUCUUAUCUCUUGUACUCUCUUACUGCCUGCCCCCCGCCCCCCAGCUCUUUCUGAAACUCUUAGUCAUAAAAGAACGGCUGAGAGAGAGCUGGCCUUGGGGAGCUCUAAUGAGAUGUGUGCUAAUGAGGGGCUUCCUUUUAUGCUCCCUGGGACUCCCUCCCCACUGGACCUAGGGUUCCAGCACCACAUUGCCUCCUGCUGAGUGGACAAUUUAGGGCUUUUGCCUCGAGCUGCUUGAGUACUUCAGACAGUGUCCAGGACUGAAGCUGGGACAGUUUCCAUGAGACUAGAGAGGAGGGCUACAGGCUUAGGAAGUCGGAUGUAAUGAUCUGAAGAAGAGAUCCCCGUUGGCUCCUGUAAAAAGCAACCACAGCAGCAAACAAAAGCCCCCACUCCCACCCCCUGAUCCCUCCGGGUGUGAUGUGAUGUGGUGUCAGUGUGUAGGUGUGUGUGUGCCGCUCUGCUCCUGUCUCCUGGGGUACCCCUUUCUCCUGUGUGUCAAGUCCCCCCUCUUUCGUGGCUCCCAAAGUGAAGAGUGCUGUGGUGUUUCUGCCCUGUCUUAGGGAUGUAUCAGGAUCUCUCGUGUUUCAGUAUUGGAGGUGAGGCCGUGCCACACCUCCCACUGUCCUAAGGGGACACGCCGGUUCUGUGACUUCCCAGACAGCUGGUGUAUGUGAAAGUCUCCAGGUUGCCAACAGCCCCGUCCUGAUGGAAGCAGGAGGCAGAGGGAACUGCUUUGUCCAGGAAGGCUGCCUAGAGGGGCUGUCGGCGAACCAGGACUCCUCCUUCUCUCCCUGCCUUGGCUUCUGUCCUGACCAGGUUCUGGGAGGAGGGGCCUUGGAGAGGUCAAGACCCAGAGCCAGCAUAACGCGGGCAUCAGGCAGUCUUGGGGACCCUGGACAUCCCAGUCCCUCUGUGGAGCCCUUGCACGUUCACAAAGACUGAGUCACAGGCCCCGUCCCUUCUUUGCUGUGGUUAGUAUCUCGUUCUGUGGUUGGUUAGCAGUGUUGAUGACCUAUGUAGCAAAUCUUUUUUGUGCACAAUUUAGAGAAUGUGUAAACAAAUAAAAGGCUUUAAAACUC
This is a long non-coding RNA of Suricata suricatta (meerkat), 3288 nucleotides long. RefSeq lists it as uncharacterized. The record is from RefSeq and is a predicted model, not a curated record. The transcript is spliced from 2 exons. NCBI's taxonomy places the organism in Eukaryota, Metazoa, Chordata, Mammalia, Carnivora, Herpestidae.